Ornithorhynchus anatinus (platypus) is the source of this 107-nucleotide small nuclear RNA. The record is from RefSeq and is a predicted model, not a curated record. NCBI's taxonomy places the organism in Eukaryota, Metazoa, Chordata, Mammalia, Monotremata, Ornithorhynchidae.
GUGCUCACUUCUGCAGCACAUGUACUAAAAUUGGAAUAAUACAGAGAAGAUUAGAAUGUCCCCUGUGCAAGGAUGACACACAAAUUUGUGAAGCAAUCCUUAUUUUG